This 1353-nucleotide long non-coding RNA is filed under the name Pan troglodytes (chimpanzee). RNAcentral describes it as "long non-coding RNA NONPTRT014819". Lineage: Eukaryota; Metazoa; Chordata; Mammalia; Primates; Hominidae. The record is from RNAcentral.
CCAGGAAGUCAUAACCUCCUGUUCCUGACUUGGACUUUCUCCUUUGUCCUAUGUCUGGAGACUUCUUGGAAGCUGGAGCACACAAAUAGCUACAGCAAACUUGAGGAAUGGGCAUGAAUAGACUGGCUUCGGGGAACCUGCCAGCUUGGCCGUGUGGCCAAGGUAAUAGGCAAGCCAAGGCACAGCUAGAGCUCAGAGCUGGAGGGGAAAUUAAAGCAGCAAAUGUAGAAACAUUAAGCCUGAAGAGGCGACAACGUUGAAUUCUAAAAUGCAGGCCAAAGCUCAGACUGCAAGCUGUCUGGCUGCUCCGGGUGUGCCCAGAAGUCAAAGUCCAGCAGGGGCAAAGGUGGAGGUGUGGUCCUGCAUGUGGGGUGUUGGGGGGAUGUGGAAGAGGAGGUGCUUUAAGAUCCAAAGAUUCCAGCUGCCCUGAUCUACCCUUGGAAGAAUAAAAGGCUAGGAACUGGACAAGUCAGGCUCAAGUCCAAGCUGCCUAAGGAAUCAGGGAAAGAAUGGAGCUAAGAGUGGGAGGUCAGGGCAGUAUCUAAAAAUCCAGGAUAGCAGCAAAGCUGGCGGUGGCCCCUGACUCUGGUAAGGGCAGCCUGCAGCACCAUGCCAAGGGGGGCCUGACUGAUCAUGCCCUGCAUUUGCAAACAAGGAUUAGUAGGGUAUGAGUAGGAUUCUGCUGGUGCCUGGGAAGGCAAUGCCAUCUACAUCUUUACAAAGUUUUAACAAAGGCCUGAAGGACACAACCUUCCCCAAAGUCCUGACGUCGCUGUUUGCUGGCAACAAAUAGAGUCAAAAGAAGAGAGGCACAGAAUGUGCCACGGGUGUGCUGCAUACAGCCCCGAUGACCACAAGGCCUUCUUGGGUCAAGUUCUGCCAUCUCUGGUUAAGAUGGGCUCACCCUCUAGGACCUUGAUUGAGUCCUCAGACCACCAAGAGUGCCCCACCAAGAGCCUCCCUCUUCUGGUGACUCGUGCCUGCUUCCCGUGGAGAGCUCCAGAAGGGAGGAAACUGUGAGGAGGUGGAGAACGUGGCAGGGAUCCUAACUUUCUUACUGAAGGAAGUUCUUAACAAGUACCCAUCUGCCUUCAGGGAAGAAAACAUAACUCAUUUUGGUCUUUCAAAUUCAGUUCUCAAAACCAAAUCCUGUUGUCAGCAAUCUGUGUCCCAACGCCUUCUUCAGCAACAGCAUUUUCCCUGUGGAAUUAGUUUCCAAUGUUCUUUCUUAAAUAAACCACUGAAGAUUAAAAGGAAUCCAGAUACCCACCACAUUUUGUUUCCUUAAUGAGUAAUUAUCACAUUUCUUUGGCUACUUAAAUGCAUUCUCUGAGUCAGGUAAAGGAGAUCGUA